CUAACAAGGAUUCCCCUAGUAACGGCGAGUGAAGCGGGAAGAGCUCAAAUUUGUAAUCUGGCGGUCUCAGGCCGUCCGAGUUGUAGUCUGGAGAAGCGUCUUCCGUGCCGGACCGUGUACAAGUCCCUUGGAACAGGGCCUCAUAGAGGGUGAGAAUCCCGUCUUUGACACGGACUGCCGGUGCUCUGUGAUGCGCUCUCGAAGAGUCGAGUUGUUUGGGAAUGCAGCUCAAAAUGGGUGGUAAAUUCCAUCUAAAGCUAAAUAUUGGCGAAAGACCGAUAGCGAACAAGUACCGUGAGGGAAAGAUGAAAAGCACUUUGGAAAGAGAGUUAAACAGUACGUGAAAUUGUUGAAAGGGAAACGCUUGAAGUCAGUCGCGUCUUCUGGGACUCAGUCGGACACUCGUGUCUGAUGUACUUCCCAGUGUGACGGGCCAGCAUCGAUUUCGAUCGUCGGAGAAAGGCUCUGGGAAUGUGGCACCUUCGGGUGUGUUAUAGCCCUGGGUCGUAUGCGACGGUCGGGAUCGAGGAUCGCAGCACGCCUUCAUUGGCCGGGGUUCGCCCACGCAACGUGCUUAGGAUGCU
RNAcentral lists this ribosomal RNA (584 nucleotides) under Ramaria concolor. RNAcentral's name for it is "partial 28S ribosomal RNA". It matches the Rfam family "Eukaryotic large subunit ribosomal RNA", at positions 65 to 627 of the family's 3401-position model. The record is from RNAcentral. Lineage: Eukaryota; Fungi; Basidiomycota; Agaricomycetes; Gomphales; Gomphaceae.